UCGGAUAUGGUGUAAAGGUAACAUAUCCGCCUCUCACGCGGUUGCUCGGGGUUCGAUUCCCCGUAUCCGAA
RNAcentral lists this transfer RNA (71 nucleotides) under Suillus luteus UH-Slu-Lm8-n1. RNAcentral describes it as "tRNA-Glu (CTC) (tRNA-Glu-CTC-3-1)". It matches the Rfam family "tRNA". From Rfam's summary of the family: Transfer RNA (tRNA) molecules are approximately 80 nucleotides in length. Their secondary structure includes four short double-helical elements and three loops (D, anti-codon, and T loops). Lineage: Eukaryota; Fungi; Basidiomycota; Agaricomycetes; Boletales; Suillaceae. The record is from RNAcentral.